GUAGUUAGCCGGGGCUUCCUCCUAAGCUACCGUCACUUCCUUCGUCACUUAGGACAGAGGUUUACAACCCGAAAGCCUUCUUCCCUCACGCGGCGUUGCUGGGUCAGGCUUGCGCCCAUUGCCCAAUAUUCCCCACUGCUGCCUCCCGUAGGAGUCUGGACCGUGUCUCAGUUCCAAUGUGGCCGAUCACCCUCUCAGGUCGGCUACCCAUCGCUGUCUUGGUGGGCCGUUACCUCACCAACUAACUAAUGGGACGCGAGCUCACCCCAAACCGGAUUUCUCCUUUUACCUCAAGAUGAUGCCAUCUCGUGGUCUUAUGCGGUAUUAGCAGAUGUUUCCAUCUGUUAUUCCCCUGUCUGGGACAGAUUGCUCACGCGUUACUCACCCGUCCGCCGCUCGAACAUCUUCUGUAUUGCUACUUCCAAUGUCCUCGCUCGACUUGCAUGUGUUAAGCACGCCGCCAGCGUUCGUCCUGAGCCAGAAUCGAACCCUGA
RNAcentral lists this ribosomal RNA (494 nucleotides) under uncultured bacterium. Its description in RNAcentral is "partial 16S ribosomal RNA". The record is from RNAcentral.